RNAcentral lists this ribosomal RNA (345 nucleotides) under Vibrio parahaemolyticus. RNAcentral's name for it is "partial 23S ribosomal RNA". It matches the Rfam family "Bacterial large subunit ribosomal RNA", at positions 1 to 390 of the family's 2925-position model. Lineage: Bacteria; Pseudomonadati; Pseudomonadota; Gammaproteobacteria; Vibrionales; Vibrionaceae. The record is from RNAcentral.
GGUUAAGUGACUAAGCGUACACGGUGGAUGCCUUGGCAGUCAGAGGCGAUGAAGGACGUAUUAACUUGCGAUAAGCCCAGAUUAGGUAGUAAAAACCACUUGAGUCUGGGAUUUCCGAAUGGGGAAACCCACUUACAUAAGUAAGUAUCGUUAUGUGAAUACAUAGCAUAACGAGGCGAACCGGGGGAACUGAAACAUCUAAGUACCCCGAGGAAAAGAAAUCAACCGAGAUUCCGAAAGUAGCGGCGAGCGAAAUUGGACUAGCCCUUAAGCUUUAUAGGCGUCAGGUGAACAAGCUGGAAAGCUUGGCGAUACAGGGUGAUAGCCCCGUAACUGACGACGCAU